GUCACCCGCCAGUCCAAGGACUACCGCCGGCAGCUGGAGCAGGCCCUCCAGCAGGUUGAGGACCUCCGAAUGGUGUUUGCGGUUCCUCUCAGCAAGUACGCAGAGCAGCAGCCCGAUCCGGGCCAGCAGCACCAGCACACAGAGCAGGAGGACGAGGAGGAGCAUGAGGAUGCUCCGGGCAAUUAAAAAAAAUUAAAUAAAGAUUUUUCCAAAAUUUUAAA
Molecule: long non-coding RNA, 221 nt
Organism: Dicentrarchus labrax (European seabass)
Lineage: Eukaryota; Metazoa; Chordata; Actinopteri; Moronidae
Exons: 2
Source: RefSeq, a predicted model, not a curated record